This 211-nucleotide ribosomal RNA is filed under the name uncultured bacterium. Its description in RNAcentral is "partial 16S ribosomal RNA". It matches the Rfam family "Bacterial small subunit ribosomal RNA", at positions 1290 to 1500 of the family's 1533-position model. The record is from RNAcentral.
AGUUCGGAUUGCAGGCUGCAACCCGCCUGCAUGAAGCUGGAAUCGCUAGUAAUCGCGGAUCAGAAUGCCGCGGUGAAUACGUCCCCGGGUCUUGUACACACCGCCCGUCACACCAUGGGAGUCGGUAACGCCCGAAGUCAGUGACCCAACCGUAAGGAGGGAGCUGCCGAAGGCGGGACUGGUAACUGGGGUGAAGUCGUAACAAGGUACC